AUGAGUAUUGCUGCUAAAUUUCAUCAGUGGUGCAUCCUCACACAUUUUUUCUUAGACAGGUUGUUGGCUGCCAUUCUUCAGUCCAGUGCAUCUGUUUCUUGGGCUCAAGCUCUUUUACCUGAUGAGAUUCUUUCACGUAUUCUACUGAUAGUUGGGAAGACAGAUAGUACUACAUUAAUUGAAAAGAUCAUUGACUUCCUAACAACUGUCAUUGAUAAUCGAGAUGUGAUUGCUAUGCUUAUCCAGCCCUUGCUUAAACUGGGUUUAGUUGACCGUGUUAUUGGGUUACUAACAAAUGAGAUUGAAAGACCACCGGAUGAGAAGCUAGACAGAAAGGGUUCUCUUGAUUUGAUCCUUCACUUCAUGGUAGAAUCAUCAGCCAUACACUGUGUUUCAAAGGCAAUGACAUCGAAUGACCGGCUGAUUAAAGUGCUAGUUAACAUGAUCAAGUCGCCUGAUAAACAAGCAAGCUGUUCCUAUUUUUUUGAUUGUCAGUUGCAAGCUAUUGCGCUUCGGUGGUGA
Molecule: ribosomal RNA, 522 nt
Filed under: Triticum aestivum (bread wheat)
Lineage: Eukaryota; Viridiplantae; Streptophyta; Magnoliopsida; Poales; Poaceae
Description: partial small subunit ribosomal RNA
Source: RNAcentral